Molecule: ribosomal RNA, 298 nt
Filed under: uncultured Paludibacter sp.
Lineage: Bacteria; Pseudomonadati; Bacteroidota; Bacteroidia; Bacteroidales; Paludibacteraceae
Description: partial 16S ribosomal RNA
Rfam family: Bacterial small subunit ribosomal RNA
Source: RNAcentral
CGGCUAACUCCAUGCCAGCCCCCGCGGUAAUACCGAGGAUCCGAGCGUUAUCCGGAUUUAAUGGGUUUAAAGGGUGCGUAGGCGGGUUGAUAAGUCAGUGGUGAAAGGUUUGCGCUCAACGUAAACAUUGCCAUUGAAACUGGCAGUCUUGAGUACAAAUGAGGUAAGCGGAAUGUGUUGUGUAGCGGUGAAAUGCAUAGAUAUGACACAGAACACCAAUUGCGAAGGCAACUUACUGGGAUGUAACUGACGCUGAAGCACGAAAGCGUGGGGAUCAAACAGGAUUAGAUACCCUGGU